Molecule: ribosomal RNA, 490 nt
Filed under: uncultured bacterium
Lineage: Bacteria
Description: partial 16S ribosomal RNA
Rfam family: Bacterial small subunit ribosomal RNA
Source: RNAcentral
AUUGAACGCUGGCGGCAUGCCUUACACAUGCAAGUCGAACGGCAGCAUGAUCUAGCUUGCUAGAUUGAUGGCGAGUGGCGAACGGGUGAGUAAUACAUCGGAACGUGCCCUGUAGUGGGGGAUAACUAGUCGAAAGAUUAGCUAAUACCGCAUACGACCUGAGGGUGAAAGUGGGGGACCGCAAGGCCUCAUGCUAUAGGAGCGGCCGAUGUCUGAUUAGCUAGUUGGUGAGGUUAAGGCUCACCAAGGCGACGAUCAGUAGCUGGUCUGAGAGGACGAUCAGCCACACUGGGACUGAGACACGGCCCAGACUCCUACGGGAGGCAGCAGUGGGGAAUUUUGGACAAUGGGCGAAAGCCUGAUCCAGCAAUGCCGCGUGUGUGAAGAAGGCCUUCGGGUUGUAAAGCACUUUUGUCCGGAAAGAAAUGGCUCUGGUUAAUACCUGGGGUCGAUGACGGUACCGGAAGAAUAAGGACCGGCUAACUACGUG